RNAcentral lists this transfer RNA (71 nucleotides) under Spirochaetota bacterium. RNAcentral's name for it is "tRNA-Gln". It matches the Rfam family "tRNA". From Rfam's summary of the family: Transfer RNA (tRNA) molecules are approximately 80 nucleotides in length. Their secondary structure includes four short double-helical elements and three loops (D, anti-codon, and T loops). Lineage: Bacteria; Pseudomonadati; Spirochaetota. The record is from RNAcentral.
UGGGGGAUUGUGUAAGGGUAGCACGACAGGUUCUGGCCCUGUUAGUGAGGGUUCGAAUCCUUCUCCCCCAG